RNAcentral lists this non-coding RNA (26 nucleotides) under Mus musculus (house mouse). Lineage: Eukaryota; Metazoa; Chordata; Mammalia; Rodentia; Muridae. The record is from RNAcentral.
UAAAGUUUUAUUGGAAGACAGUCUUA